CCCUUAGAUGUCCGGGGCUGCACGCGCGCUACACUGUAGAAAGCAGCGUGCUUUAAAACCUUUCCUGAAAAGGAUGGGUAACCCCAGCAAAAUUCUACGUGCUUGGGAUAGAGAUUUGCAAUUUUCUCUCUUGAACGAGGAAUUCCCAGUAAGUGCGAGUCAUCAGCUCGCAUUGAUUACGUCCCUGCCCUUUGUACACACCGCCCGUCGCACCUACCGAUUGGAUGGUCCGGUCAAGCCUCGGGAUUGUGGUUCUUGCCGCUUUAUUGUAGCGUGACCGCGAGAACUUGUCUAAACCUUAUCAUUUAGAGGAAGGAGAAGUCGUAACA
RNAcentral lists this ribosomal RNA (329 nucleotides) under uncultured eukaryote. RNAcentral describes it as "partial 18S ribosomal RNA". It matches the Rfam family "Eukaryotic small subunit ribosomal RNA", at positions 1470 to 1796 of the family's 1831-position model. The record is from RNAcentral.